RNAcentral lists this transfer RNA (85 nucleotides) under Jeotgalibacillus malaysiensis. RNAcentral's name for it is "tRNA-Ser (GCT) (tRNA-Ser-GCT-2-1)". It matches the Rfam family "tRNA". From Rfam's summary of the family: Transfer RNA (tRNA) molecules are approximately 80 nucleotides in length. Their secondary structure includes four short double-helical elements and three loops (D, anti-codon, and T loops). Further hydrogen bonds mediate the characteristic L-shaped molecular structure. tRNAs have two regions of fundamental functional importance: the anti-codon, which is responsible for specific mRNA codon recognition, and the 3' end, to which the tRNAs corresponding amino acid is attached (by aminoacyl-tRNA synthetases). tRNAs cope with the degeneracy of the genetic code in two manners: having more than one tRNA (with a specific anti-codon) for a particular amino acid; and 'wobble' base-pairing, i.e. permitting non-standard base-pairing at the 3rd anti-codon position. The record is from RNAcentral. Lineage: Bacteria; Bacillati; Bacillota; Bacilli; Caryophanales; Caryophanaceae.
GGAGUCUUACUCAAACGGUAAAGAGGUUGCUUUGCUAAAGCAAUAGGCGAGAAUUCGUGCGUGGGUUCGAAUCCCACAGGCUCCU